This 72-nucleotide transfer RNA is filed under the name Camelus bactrianus (Bactrian camel). It matches the Rfam family "tRNA". Rfam says of the family: Transfer RNA (tRNA) molecules are approximately 80 nucleotides in length. The record is from Rfam by way of RNAcentral. Lineage: Eukaryota; Metazoa; Chordata; Mammalia; Artiodactyla; Camelidae. RNAcentral also lists the same sequence under 3 other names.
GAGGGUACAGCUCAGGGGUAAAGUGCAUGCUUAGCAUGCAUGAGGUCCUGAGUUCAAUCCCCAGUACCUCCA